Molecule: transfer RNA, 67 nt
Filed under: Schistosoma mansoni
Lineage: Eukaryota; Metazoa; Platyhelminthes; Trematoda; Strigeidida; Schistosomatidae
Source: RNAcentral
CAGUAGCGGAGUGGAUAACGCUGUGGCGUUUUAAGCGAAUGGUACUGGGUUCGAGUCCCAGAGUGAA